RNAcentral lists this ribosomal RNA (375 nucleotides) under uncultured Glomeromycotina. Its description in RNAcentral is "LSU rRNA". The record is from RNAcentral. Lineage: Eukaryota; Fungi; Glomeromycota.
UUGAAAGGGAAACGAUUGAAGUCAGUCGUACCAGCGGGAAAUCAACCUUUCGAGUGGGGGUUUUGGAGUUUUGAAGAGUGUCAAAACCUUUGAGAUUUCAAAAUUUUCGCUCCUUUGGUGUACUUUCUCGUGGGUAGGUUAACAUCGGUUUCGAUCAUCAUAAAAGGAUUGGAGGAAUGUAGCUUCGAUCUUGUAUUGAAGUGUUAUAGCCUUUGGUAAAUGUGAUGAUUGGGAUCGAGGAUUGCAACGAAUACCCUUUUGGGCUAUCCGCCUGAUCUCUGAUACGUGGCCUUGGCAUCGAAAGCUUGCUUAUGGUAUCAAGGUAUUACGGUCAAAAGGUUAGAACGGAUUACAUUCGUUAAGGAUGUUGACGUA